CACCCGUUCCCAUCCCGAACACGGUCGUAAAGACCUACUGCAGCGACAAUACUUGGCGGGCCACCGCCUGGGAAGAUAGCCCGUUGCCAGCA
Molecule: ribosomal RNA, 92 nt
Filed under: Candidatus Gastranaerophilales bacterium HUM_8
Lineage: Bacteria; Bacillati; Candidatus Melainabacteria; Candidatus Gastranaerophilales
Source: RNAcentral